RNAcentral lists this ribosomal RNA (505 nucleotides) under Grammomys sp. RNAcentral describes it as "partial small subunit ribosomal RNA". It matches the Rfam family "Bacterial large subunit ribosomal RNA", at positions 1901 to 2579 of the family's 2925-position model. The record is from RNAcentral. Lineage: Eukaryota; Metazoa; Chordata; Mammalia; Rodentia; Muridae.
AUUGCUGCCCAGUGACUUCUAAGUUAAACGGCCGCGGUAUUCUGACCGUGCAAAGGUAGCAUAAUCAUUUGUUCCCCAAUUAGGGACUAGUAUGAAUGGCUAGACGAGGAUUCAACUGUCUCUUAUUCCCAAUCAGUGAAAUUGACCUUCCAGUGAAGAGGCUGGAAUAAAACAAUAAGACGAGAAGACCCUAUGGAGCUUUAAUUAACUAGCCUAAUUAUAAUAAUCAAACCCUAAUGGAAUAAAAACAUAAACAUUAAGCUAACAAUUUUGGUUGGGGUGACCUCGGAGAACAAAAAAUCCUCCGAAUGAUUAUAGCAUAGACAAACAAGUCAAAGCAAUCCACUAUAUCCAAUUGACCCAAAAACACUUUGACCAACGGACCAAGUUACCCUAGGGAUAACAGCGCAAUCCUAUUUAAGAGUCCAUAUCGAAAAUUAGGGUUUACGACCUCGAUGUUGGAUCAGGACACCCCAAUGGUGCAGAAGCUAUUAAGGUUCGUUUG